This 468-nucleotide ribosomal RNA is filed under the name uncultured bacterium. RNAcentral's name for it is "partial 16S ribosomal RNA". It matches the Rfam family "Bacterial small subunit ribosomal RNA", at positions 28 to 507 of the family's 1533-position model. The record is from RNAcentral.
GACGAACGCUGGCGGCGUGCUUAACACAUGCAAGUCGAACGGAAAGGCCCUGCUUUUGUGGGGUGCUCGAGUGGCGAACGGGUGAGUAACACGUGAGUAACCUGCCCUUGACUUUGGGAUAACUUCAGGAAACUGGGGCUAAUACCGGAUAGGAGCUCCUGCUGCAGGGUGGGGGUUGGAAAGUUUCGGCGGUUGGGGAUGGACUCGCGGCUUAUCAGCUUGUUGGUGGGGUAGUGGCUUACCAAGGCUUUGACGGGUAGCCGGCCUGAGAGGGUGACCGGCCACAUUGGGACUGGGAUCCGGCCCAGCCUCCUACGGGAGGCAGCAGUGGGGAAUAUUGCACAAUGGGCGGAAGCCUGAUGCAGCAACGCCGCGUGCGGGAUGACGGCCUUCGGGUUGUAAACCGCUUUCGCCUGUGACGAAGCGUGAGUGACGGUAAUGGGUAAAGAAGCACCGGCUAACUACGUG